GUGCUUGCAUAGGCAGCACAUAUACAAAAAUUGGAAAGAUACAGAGAAGAUUAGCAUUGCCCCUGCACAAGGAUGACAGGCAAAUAUAUGAAGCGUUCCAUAUUUUU
Molossus molossus (Pallas's mastiff bat) is the source of this 107-nucleotide small nuclear RNA. The record is from RefSeq and is a predicted model, not a curated record. NCBI's taxonomy places the organism in Eukaryota, Metazoa, Chordata, Mammalia, Chiroptera, Molossidae.